Molecule: ribosomal RNA, 492 nt
Filed under: uncultured bacterium
Lineage: Bacteria
Description: partial 16S ribosomal RNA
Rfam family: Bacterial small subunit ribosomal RNA
Source: RNAcentral
AGUGAACGCUGGCGGUAGGUCUAACACAUGCAAGUCGAACGGCAGCACAGUAAGAGCUUGCUCUUACGGGUGGCGAGUGGCGGACGGGUGAGGAAUACAUCGGAAUCUACUUUUUCGUGGGGGAUAACGUAGGGAAACUUACGCUAAUACCGCAUACGACCUACGGGUGAAAGCAGGGGAUCUUCGGACCUUGCGCGAUUGAAUGAGCCGAUGUCGGAUUAGCUAGUUGGCGGGGUAAAGGCCCACCAAGGCGACGAUCCGUAGCUGGUCUGAGAGGAUGAUCAGCCACACUGGAACUGAGACACGGUCCAGACUCCUACGGGAGGCAGCAGUGGGGAAUAUUGGACAAUGGGCGCAAGCCUGAUCCAGCCAUACCGCGUGGGUGAAGAAGGCCUUCGGGUUGUAAAGCCCCUUUGUUGGGAAAGAAAAGCAGCAGGUUAAUACCCCGCUGUUCUGACGGUACCCAAAGAAUAAGCACCGGCUAACUUCGUG